Molecule: microRNA, 23 nt
Filed under: Gallus gallus (chicken)
Lineage: Eukaryota; Metazoa; Chordata; Aves; Galliformes; Phasianidae
Description: gga-miR-7474-5p
Source: miRBase by way of RNAcentral
GUACGGAGUUGGUGAACCACUGG